AGGGGCUCAAAUGAAUGACGGGGGCCGCACAAGCGGUGGAGCAUGUGGUUUAAUUCGAUGCAACGCGAAGAACCUUACCUACUCUUGACAUCCAGAGAACUUUCCAGAGAUGGAUUGGUGCCUUCGGGAACUCUGAGACAGGUGCUGCAUGGCUGUCGUCAGCUCGUGUUGUGAAAUGUUGGGUUAAGUCCCGCAACGAGCGCAACCCUUAUCCUUUGUUGCCAGCGGUCCGGCCGGGAACUCAAAGGAGACUGCCAGUGAUAAACUGGAGGAAGGUGGGGAUGACGUCAAGUCAUCAUGGCCCUUACGAGUAGGGCUACACACGUGCUACAAUGGCGCAUACAAAGAGAAGCGACCUCGCGAGAGCAAGCGGACCUCAUAAAGUGCGUCGUAGUCCGGAUUGGAGUCUGCAACUCGACUCCAUGAAGUCGGAAUCGCUAGUAAUCGUGGAUCAGAAUGCCACGGUGAAUACGUUCCCGGGCCUUGUACACCCCGCCCGUCAA
This 503-nucleotide ribosomal RNA is filed under the name Enterobacter hormaechei. Its description in RNAcentral is "bacterial SSU rRNA". It matches the Rfam family "Bacterial small subunit ribosomal RNA", at positions 891 to 1400 of the family's 1533-position model. The record is from RNAcentral. Lineage: Bacteria; Pseudomonadati; Pseudomonadota; Gammaproteobacteria; Enterobacterales; Enterobacteriaceae.